This 347-nucleotide long non-coding RNA is filed under the name Solanum tuberosum (potato). Its description in RNAcentral is "long non-coding RNA (STUB_LNC004742)". The record is from RNAcentral. Lineage: Eukaryota; Viridiplantae; Streptophyta; Magnoliopsida; Solanales; Solanaceae.
CUAAAAUAAUCACAUUUCAAAAUCACAGAGAACCUUGACACUACAGUAUCCUAGAGGAUCACCUUAAGCUAUCCAUGAAGACAAUAUAGAUUAAAAAAACCUCUAAAUAGAAAUUCAACUGCUCUAUAAAAUAAUCAAAUUUCAAAUCAUAGAGAGCGAUGGCACUACAGUAUCCUAGAGGAUCACCUUAAGCUAUCCAUGAAGACAAUAUAGAUUAAAAAAACCUCUAAAUAGAAAUUCAACUGCUCUAUAAAAUAAUCAAAUUUCAAAAUCAUAGAGAGCGAUGGCACUACAGUAUCCUAGAAGAUAACGCUAAGCUAUCCACGAAGACAACACAUAUAAACAAC